CACACACACACACACACACACACACACACACUAUGGAAGCUGAACACAUUUAAAUCACAGACUUAGGUCUGGACACCAUGCCAAAAGUCCGUGCUCUUCAUCCUCCUCCUCCUCCUCUGUUGGCCAACAGAUACGUCAUUCAUAAGAGACUCGGUAGAGGAAGUUUCGGCACUGUUUAUCUCAUUGAAGAUACAAAAACGUCCAGAGACAAACUACGUACAGAAGAGACACAAUUAAAGUGGAAACCUUCUGUUCAUGCACAGCUGUAUUUUUAUCUUGAAGCUUCCUUCAGUGCUCCAGUGGACAGAAGGGACCCGAGGUUAUGUAAAGCAGCUCAUGACAGUGAGGAGAAAGAGGAGAAAAAAGGAGAUUAAUAGGAGGAGACUAACACCGAAGUGUUCAAGGGAUUUUCUGCUUGUUAUCUCAAACCCAGUGUCAGACGUAUCACUGAAAAUUCAACACGUUAUUUCUUCCUCUCUGCAACGUACACGCUUCAAAAACCUCCUGCAAUUCCCCCCUUGAUGGAGUAUUGAACACCCGGAUCACUUCUGGAACACAUCACUUCUGCUCUGUUAAUAUAUAAAAAGAGGAAAUCUAAAGAGAAAGGAACCUGGACUUAGGAAACAAUGUCCUGUUACAACAUCACUGAGAAAUAACAGAAAUAACUCCUGCGGCUUGAGAAAAGCUCUCUCACUUUUAUUCUGAAGAAACACUUACUAAGGCUUAUUAACUUCCUCCUGCGUAACUCUGACAGAUAGAAGUUCUUGUACUUGGACUACAGACAGUCAGAAGUAAGCUUUCUGAUGACAGAGUAACUCUGAAUGGUCUUUCUUUUACAUCACGUGCAGCAGUAAAAGACCUCGGUGUGAUUAUUGAUACCGGUCUCUCACUUGAAGCUCAUGUAGAUAAUAUCACAAGUGUAGCCUUCUUUCAUCAUUUACAUUAAUACACAAAGAUUCAUUAAGCAGUAAGAGGUCAUAAACCUGAAGCUCAUCAUCAAUCCAACCUUCCACCUCAGCACCGUCGAGUUCCGGCUCCUGAUUGGUCAGAAGGUGUUGAUUUAGUUUCUAUACCAGACACUAGUGUAGCUGAACAUCACAGCUUUAUAUUCAGAUUAAUGCACUGCUUCUGAUACCGUAUCGUUUCUAUAGUAACAGCUCAUUAACAGGAACAGAAAGCAAUUAAUAAACAUGUAUUAAUAGUCGAUAUGACAAAGUUUUCUGUGAGGUGAAGUUUAUUUAAUCUUCAGGACAGAGGAGUUUACACUGGUUUGUAGUUACAAAAAAUUAACAUCAAGAGAGAGAAAAAAAGACAGACUUGUAAAGGAAGGAAUAUUUAUAGCUGCUAUAACGUACAGGAGAACAGGAAGGAACUGGAUUUGUGGAUGUUGCAGGAUAGAAAAUGUAAUUAAAAGAAUAUAAUGUGUCA
This is a long non-coding RNA of Tachysurus fulvidraco (yellow catfish), 1428 nucleotides long. RefSeq lists it as uncharacterized. NCBI's taxonomy places the organism in Eukaryota, Metazoa, Chordata, Actinopteri, Siluriformes, Bagridae. The transcript has 3 exons. The record is from RefSeq and is a predicted model, not a curated record.